GUAGUCCACGCCGUAAACGAUGGGUACUAGGUGUUGCAGGAAUUGACCCCUGCAGUGCCGAAGCUAACGCAUUAAGUACCCCGCCUGGGAAGUACGGCCGCAAGGUUAAAACUCAAAGGAAUUGACGGGGGCCCGCACAAGCGGUGGAGCAUGUGGUUUAAUUCGAUGCAACGCGAAAAACCUUACCUGGGUUUGACAUCCACUGACAGCCGUAGAGAUACGGUUUUCCCUUCGGGGACAGUGAGACAGGUGCUGCAUGGCUGUCGUCAGCUCGUAUCGUGAGAUGUCGGGUUAAGUCCCUUAACGAGCGCAACCCUUAUCCCUAGUUGCCAUCAUUUAGUUGGGCACUCUAUGGAGACUGCCGGUGUUAAACCGGA
This 377-nucleotide ribosomal RNA is filed under the name uncultured bacterium. RNAcentral's name for it is "bacterial SSU rRNA". It matches the Rfam family "Bacterial small subunit ribosomal RNA", at positions 790 to 1167 of the family's 1533-position model. The record is from RNAcentral.